CACGUAGGCGGCUUGGUAAGUCAGAUGUGAAAGCCCGGAGCUUAACCCCGGAAGUGCAUUUGAUACUGCCAAGCUUGAGUAUGGGAGAGGGAAGUGGAAUUCCUGGUGUAGAGGUGAAAUUCGUAGAUAUCAGGAGGAACACCGGUGGCGAAGGCGACUUCCUGGACCAAUACUGACGCUGAGGCGCGAAGGCGUGGGGAGCAAACAGGAUUAGAUACCCUGGUAGUCC
This 229-nucleotide ribosomal RNA is filed under the name uncultured bacterium. RNAcentral describes it as "partial 16S ribosomal RNA". It matches the Rfam family "Bacterial small subunit ribosomal RNA", at positions 568 to 796 of the family's 1533-position model. The record is from RNAcentral.